RNAcentral lists this long non-coding RNA (960 nucleotides) under Nicotiana tabacum (common tobacco). Its description in RNAcentral is "long non-coding RNA (NTAB_LNC013695)". Lineage: Eukaryota; Viridiplantae; Streptophyta; Magnoliopsida; Solanales; Solanaceae. The record is from RNAcentral.
CUUUUGUUGUAGGCUUGGAGAAGCGGGACAAACAAGUGAUUGAGGAAUCUAACAUGAGGCUUGUGUGUUGGUGCUUUCUCCUCCUAGGAAUUUUAUCACACAUUCACACAGGUAAAAGACAUUAAGAGGAGAAAGCUAUAAUAUUUUGAAGAAGCUACUGUAUCUGUAUUCCAUUUUUCGGAGAAGCAAAUUCUCCUUUAGAUUACAUUGCUAACUGGAGCUUAUAAGUUGAAGCACCUGACUCGCUAUUGUAUAUACUUUUGAAGAGCUUCCAAGAGAAGUUAGAGCUAAAAUCAAAAUGGAGAAGUUGGAAAUUCUGGCAUUCAGAAUUAAGAAGGUUAAAAGUAAUUUUACAUGUUGAUAUCUUUGUAUAAAUAUAUCAUAAUUCAUAUGCUCCUCUUUAAUGCCUUACCUAAUCAUAGCAGCAAAAUUGUACAUGCGAGUAGUCCUCCAUUCAGUAACCAUAUUUUUGGAUCUUUUUUUUUUUUGAAAAAGAAAAAAGACAGCAGAUAGGAUCCUUCAAAUAUUGUAAGGGUUUGGAUAGUCCAAUCUGCAUAUAACUUUUGUGGAGGUUGUUGGGCAAUAUGUCUCUCUUCUUUAUGUAUUUUUAUUUUUAACUUUAACAUACGAAGGGAUCAUGUCGUAGCCCUCGAACAAUGUGGCUUUUCUAAUAAUGAACAAAAGAAUGAUUAAUGGAGUUUGAAGAAGUAGAUUUCUUGAAAUUUGAUGUUACUUCAGAUUUGCUGGUGAUGACUGCAUUUUAACAGGUUAUUGGUAGGUCCAACAUACGAAUGUGUGUGUUCUCACAAGAACUACAUAGUGGAUAGUAGCAAGGAUGAUUGGAUUUGAAAGAUACUACUAUGAAGGAAAAAGCGAAGCUGAUUUUUUGUUAAGACAUAUUUAUUUUUGUUAAGACGUGUUUAUUUAUGUAUGAGAAUUUGUCAAUAUAAAUCUGCAAAA